CCUACGGGAGGCAGCAGUGAGGAAUAUUGGUCAAUGGACGAGAGUCUGAACCAGCCAAGUAGCGUGAAGGAUGACUGCCCUAUGGGUUGUAAACUUCUUUUAUAUGGGAAUAAAAUGUUCCACGUGUGGGAUUUUGUAUGUACCAUAUGAAUAAGGAUCGGCUAACUCCGUGCCAGCAGCCGCGGUAAUACGGAGGAUCCGAGCGUUAUCCGGAUUUAUUGGGUUUAAAGGGAGCGUAGGUGGAUUGUUAAGUCAGUUGUGAAAGUUUGCGGCUCAACCGUAAAAUUGCAGUUGAAACUGGCAGUCUUGAGUACAGUAGAGGUGGGCGGAAUUCGUGGUGUAGCGGUGAAAUGCUUAGAUAUCACGAAGAACUCCGAUUGCGAAGGCAGUUCACUGGACUGAAACUGACACUGAGGCUCGAAAGUGUGGGUAUCAAACAGGAUUAGAUACCCCAGUAGUC
RNAcentral lists this ribosomal RNA (460 nucleotides) under uncultured bacterium. RNAcentral's name for it is "partial 16S ribosomal RNA". It matches the Rfam family "Bacterial small subunit ribosomal RNA", at positions 338 to 795 of the family's 1533-position model. The record is from RNAcentral.